GAGCGGCGUACGGGUGCGGAACACGUGUGCACUGCCUUUAUCUGGGGGAUAGCCUUUCGAAAGGAAGAUAAUACCCCAUAAUAUGUUGAAUGGCAUCAUCCGACAUUGAAAACUCCGGUGGAUAGAGAUGGGCACGCGCAAGAUUAGAUAGUUGGUGAGGUAACGGCUCACCAAGUCUACGAUCUUUAGGGGGCCUGAGAGGGUGAUCCCCCACACUGGUACUGAGACACGGACCAGACUCCUACGGGAGGCAGCAGUGAGGAAUAUUGGACAAUGGGUGAGAGCCUGAUCCAGCCAUCCCGCGUGAAGGACGACUGCCCUAUGGGUUGUAAACUUCUUUUGUAUAGGGAUAAACCUACCCUCGUGAGGGUAGCUGAAGGUACUAUACGAAUAAGCACCGGCUAACUCCGUGCCAGCAGCCGCGGUAAUACGGAGGGUGCAAGCGUUAUCCGGAUUUAUUGGGUUUAAAGGGUCCGUAGGCGGAUCUGUAAGUCAGUGGUGAAAUCUCACAGUUAAUUGGUGAAAUUGCAUUGAUUACUGCAAGGUCUUGGAAUUGUGUGAAGUAGCUGGAAUAAGUAGUGUACGGGUGAAAAUGCUUUA
This 600-nucleotide ribosomal RNA is filed under the name uncultured bacterium. RNAcentral's name for it is "bacterial SSU rRNA". It matches the Rfam family "Bacterial small subunit ribosomal RNA", at positions 93 to 694 of the family's 1533-position model. The record is from RNAcentral.